Molecule: long non-coding RNA, 1098 nt
Filed under: Anas platyrhynchos (mallard)
Lineage: Eukaryota; Metazoa; Chordata; Aves; Anseriformes; Anatidae
Description: lncRNA (ENSAPLG00020018464.1)
Source: RNAcentral
GAAGAUGUAAGGGCUGUGAGAAACCCGAUUUUAUUACAUUAGGAGGUGGGGGAGAUGCUUGUGGAAAUGGUCAUGGUUAAAUGAUCUGGGGUUUUGGAGCCUGUCACAGCAUAAGUCAAAGUAUCCUGGGGCUGCUAUAGCUGCCAAUGAGUACAGGGUACCUCUCCUCACCACUGUAACACCUUCACCAUGAGAUAGAAGAUUAUUGGAAUGCUCUGCAGAGCCUUUCAGAGGAGGCAUUUUCGGCAGUGGAGAAAGCGUUUGCAGUGCCAAAUGGAUUUUACUGGCAGACAGUUGAAACUGAUGAAAAAUACUUCCCUAAUAGCAGCAACAUUGAGGCUUGCAGCAACACAGACACUGAGAAAAACUGCCUUCUUCCUAUGCUUCAGAGACGGGCAUGGUGCCACCAGUGCUGGCUUUGGGCGUGAGAGGGCCCUAAAGCACGUAGCGCCUUGCAGAAUAUCAUGGGGCCAGUCCGACCCGCAGCUGGCUGGCGUGACAGACUGCACUUCCAUCAAUGCCAUCUACUGCAGGAGCCAAGCAGAGCCUCUCGUCUACCUGCCCCAGCUGGACAGCCGCGUGCACAGGGAGCUGUGCCUCUGGUUCGGAGGGAGGGCUGCUCAUGCAGCACUGCAUGGUGGUGUCCUAGAUCCAGCUUCCAGAUGCAACAGAGUGAGGUCUCAGAGUCCUUCAUCAACUAGAGCAGAAGCAGAUGAAGAAAACGUUCAUCUCCAGGACAUGGCGCAACCUCGACCUCCAGCGAUGCUUGUCUCAACUUCCAAAGGGGACAUUAUUUUGAUGGUGUCGCCUGUGGUAUCUCCUCAUGCAUGUGGUAAUGUGAUCUCAGGUCUGUACUCAGUCGGGGGUUUCUUCUGCAAGGAAUCAGACGGCUGCAGCUUUCACCCAAGCAAGCCAUUGUGCUGAGCAUGACAACAAGUCAGGUACCGGUCAGAACAUACAGCUCACUUGUAUGCUUUGGGUUACCAUUUCUGAAACUUAUUAUACUGUGGGUUUAUGGAUGUGUGAACUGACACACUCCUGUAGUGAGUGUUCUUGAGUGUUCUUCUCUCUUCAUUAUCUCUACUAGCUAGCCAGCAC